UCUUGAUAUUUACUUUAUUAUUAAAUGAAUUUAUGAAAUAUUCUGACGUUGUCGGAAUUUCAAGAUUUGUUUUCUAUUGAUUUUGAAAAAAAUGAGCUAGAUAUGUACCUGAUGUUUAAAUUUUCAACGGACCAAGAGCACCAUAAAAAUUUAAAGCUGAGUUUUAUACAUUGUUAUAAUGGGAAGAUAAUCCCAUUACAUUUCUCCAAAUAUUGGAAAUGAAAUUUUUGUCUAAAGUUAUUUUAAUUUCAAAAUCAUUGUUGUGAAUGGGAAAGUUGUUGAGCAAGUUAACUAUGUGAGGUCUACAAUUGACUCAUAUAUGCUAUUUUGUUCUAUUAUGUAUGAUUAAGUAUGGUUUUAACAAUGUUUGCUAAGCAUGAAAAAAUAAAUGAAUAUAUUUCUGUGACUUGUGUUAUGUAAAAUGCUAUGAUUCAGUGUUUUCUAAAUCUUGUGCAUUUUUUGUGAUUUUGAGAUUCUGGUAGAAUUGAAUAUGAAUUUGCCUGCUAAUGAAAUAUUAUUGGACCUUGAAAGUCCUUAAUACUCAUUUAGGAAAUUUAUUUGUCGUUCAGGUGUUUUUUGGAAAUUUAGUGGUAUUAGAGCUGCUAGUUGAGUAAAUUUUUUAAAAGAAAAUAUUAGAGAAUGUAUAGUAAUUUUUUAGUAAUGAGACAAUUCUAAGAUGUUUGAGACCGAUUACAAGUUUAUCAGAAUUAGAAUAGAACUUUAUCAACUAUGUGUAUGCAUUAAA
RNAcentral lists this long non-coding RNA (745 nucleotides) under Medicago truncatula (barrel medic). Its description in RNAcentral is "lncRNA gene23537". The record is from RNAcentral. Lineage: Eukaryota; Viridiplantae; Streptophyta; Magnoliopsida; Fabales; Fabaceae.